GGCAAUGGGAAUGCACGUUGCAUAGGUAGUAGCACGUCUUGAAAUAGCUUCGGCUAGGCACUGGCGUUGACCAAUGGAUUAGAGAGAUAACGGUCAAGUAACAACGGACGCAAUAGCAAUAGACAUAGGAAUUUUUAUUUCUUUCCAUCAAGUUCCAAUGCCAUAUUCCUCUGGCUGUUUCAACUAUCCAGGGUGCUCAGAAUCGACUCGGAAACCGGACGCGGAGACGUUUUACACCGGAAAUUGAAAAUCUCUUUCAUUCGCACAGGAAAGUGGGGGAAUCCUGGCGAGACCAAAUCACAAUGAAACGAUCAGGAAAUCGGCAUUAAACCAACGUUUUGGAGCGGAUUGACAAGUUGUUUUUUUAAACAAUCUACGUACGCGAGAUUCUAUUUCUUCAUUCGCCUGUCUUCAAUGAAUGCCUCAGUCGACGAGGGAGGCUGUAAUAAUAAAUCUCUACAUGAUUCAACAAGGAAUUGAGUCUAGUAUCCAUGCCACAUCCGUAUACGUAGGCCUACGUACUAGAUGCUACAGUGCUUACUUUGAGCAGAAAAAGAGGGAGGCAGCCAAGAAGCGGGUGGAUGGCUGCAUCAGGAGACUAGCGACGGUUAAAGACGAAGCACUGAAGUUUUUUGCGGUCAUCAAACAGAUCUGCGCCUAUCAAAGUCUUUCAAGCGUCAAUAUCUUUCAGUCCUUUGAAAGACCUUUGAAGAUCCUCGGCGGCGCCAUUUUCUCCCCACCCAAGCCUUCCACCUUCUGCCGCGUCCCCCUCUUUUUUUUUUUUUUUUUUUUUCCCUUUUUUUUCUUUCUCUUGGGUCUCUUCACAAGGCAAUUGCCCAUACACACCAAAUCAAUCCGCAUCAAAACAUCCAGCGACAUCUUUUUCAUCCACCCUCCACGCUCAUUUCUUUCUCUUACAACCGAGCGCGUCCUCUUUUUUUUCAUUUUAUUAUUACUUUCCUUGUUCUUCUUCUUUACGGCCGAUGGAUACCUUUCGCAGCCGUACUUACCGACAUGUCAUACUCGUCUCAUUAGCAUGGCGCUCUUUUUUCUCUCUAUGUGUCCUUCUGUCUCGCCCGCACAAUGUCUGUCCAUGGCUCCAUGCAAUCAGUCUAUCUUUAGGCUUUUCUCUAAUUAUAAUUUGAUUCGUGUAUGGCUUGACAUUGAACACGGAAGUUAAAAUUGCA
RNAcentral lists this long non-coding RNA (1187 nucleotides) under Daphnia magna. RNAcentral's name for it is "uncharacterized LOC123475731, transcript variant X2". Lineage: Eukaryota; Metazoa; Arthropoda; Branchiopoda; Diplostraca; Daphniidae. The record is from RNAcentral.